CGGGCGUCUUAACAUGCAAGUCGAACGGCAGCAUGACCUAGCUUGCUAGGUUGAUGGCGAGUGGCGAACGGGUGAGUAAUGCAUCGGAACGUGCCUUUUAGUGGGGGAUAACGUAGCGAAAGUUACGCUAAUACCGCAUAUUCUCUGAGGAGGAAAGCAGGGGACCUUCGGGCCUUGCGCUAGAAGAGCGGCCGAUGUCGGAUUAGCUAGUUGGUGAGGUAAAGGCUCACCAAGGCAACGAUCCGUAGCGGGUCUGAGAGGAUGAUCCGCCACACUGGGACUGAGACACGGCCCAGACUCCUACGGGAGGCAGCAGUGGGGAAUUUUGGACAAUGGGCGCAAGCCUGAUCCAGCCAUGCCGCGUGAGUGAAGAAGGCCUUCGGGCUGUAAAGCUCUUUCGGCUGGGAAGAAAUCGCACUCUCUAAUACAGGGUGUGGAUGACGGUACCAGCAUAAGAAGCACGGCUAACUAC
RNAcentral lists this ribosomal RNA (472 nucleotides) under Rhodocyclus sp. oral taxon 028. Its description in RNAcentral is "bacterial SSU rRNA". It matches the Rfam family "Bacterial small subunit ribosomal RNA", at positions 43 to 504 of the family's 1533-position model. The record is from RNAcentral. Lineage: Bacteria; Pseudomonadati; Pseudomonadota; Betaproteobacteria; Rhodocyclales; Rhodocyclaceae.